GGGGCGGGCGCGCUGCUGUGGAGCACUUUGCGGGCCACCUUCUUUUUUUUUUUAAAAGUCAUCCUUACAAGGUUGCGGUGGUAGACGCACUACCACCCUACUGCCAAGGCAGCCUGGAUCAUAACACAGAACCUCGAUAGGGCCAGAGAUCAGAGAAGAGAAGAGAAGUUUGUUCCACCACACACCUACUGGAAACCUCAACAGCCAGGUGACACCACACACCUACUGGAGUUCUCAACAGCUAGGUGACAACUACAGCCACUGCCAUGACCACACAGAUCAUCUAGAGCUCUCCAGUUGACAGGCCCAGAGCUCCACUUGAAUCUUGGAUCUUGAACUUGAAAGCUCUCCAGUUGCAGGCCCAGAGCUCCAGCCUUGUACCCCAGAGACUCCCUGCACCACAGGGGGGGUCUACACACCACCAAGGUGUGGAUGGGUUUUGGUAAACCAGGGCCCUUCCUGGUGGGGUGACCGGGAUUCGAACCCAGGAUCUCUCGAAGCCUUAACGAAAUCAGCUUGAGUGUCUUAACCAUUUAGACGACCCCCCCGACCUUCUUGUACGCCGUCUGGUGUGCGUACUGGUCCCGCGAGCCUGCUAAGCAGACGUCGGAGCAUGUGGUUCGGGAGGUGGUCAGCGAGCUGCGCAGGGUGAUGCAGCUGCGUUUCACUGCCGCCACGCUAACCCCUGAAACCCUGUCGGCUCUGCCCACACAGCUUCUCACCGCGCAGCUCAAGGCGGCUAAGCUGGAGCACUUUGUUGCCAUCUGGACGGCAGGUGGCGCGCUUUGUGAAGUGGAGGAGGUUCAGGGUGGGUCACCGAAGUUGAACUUGCGGCUGACGCUUGCAUCACCUGUGCAGGCCCCCUGGGUUUCCUUUUGGGCGGCGUUUCUUUCCAAGCGCUGGCGUGGUGUACUAUCGUCAUCAGCUUAUCUGGCGCCCAUGUGUUUUAGCUCUGGCUGGCGUCACAGCGCCUGGGCGGCUGUGGGACUUCCUGCACAGCGCGUCUUGCAGCGGGCUGGAGCCCACUUAUUUAGCGCCACAUCUGGCCCGUUUAGUCUUCUGCUUGUGUCUCCUCUGCCGGUUCUCCUGGGGUGUUGCUUAAGCAACCGACUUGUGGGGGUGGGGUGGGUUUGGGCGGGGCGAGUGCGUAGCGCUGGUGUUUCUUUUUCUGGCGCGCGGUGGUGGUGGUUCUUGCGGUUAGGCUGUGGUGUAGGUUGGUGCUUGGGUUAGGUCUGGCUGUGUUUUUGUGCAACCCCUCCCGGGGGGCGGGGGGGCCAGCCUCCUGCUCUGUCUGCCGGGUCGGGGUGGGGUGGGGUGGGAUGGAUGGGGGUGGUUGUUGGCGGUUUUCGAGGUGUUUGUUUUCUGUUUUUCUUCUCUUUUCUUCUCUUCUUGCCCUGUCAGGGUUCUGGUCUCGGGGACCAGGCUGUCUUCAGGCAGCAGGGGGGCAGCGCGUCUGCCCCUGUUCAACCUUGUAAGGAUGAUCCCUCAAAAAAAAAAAACGCGGCGCGCACACAUUCUGCCUGCAUACCUUUUUGGGCUGAGCCCCCCGAGCGAAGCGAUCCAGGGGGGGGCGAAGCCCCCCAGGAUUGCCCCUGUCCGUGCCUGCCUGCGUGCCUGCCUGCGUCGACAAAAAGUGCCAAUCUGGCGCAAACCGCGAGUGCCACGUAUUAUUAAUUGCUAUUCCCUAUUGUAGAAAAAUAGGCGGCAGGGAAAACUCGGCCGGGGCGAGAAGCGACCUCGUGAGUCCAUGGACAUCUUGACUUUCUUCAGUCCGCGAGUAUAGCUCUCGGCCCCUAAAUAUCUUACAUCCAUGUAUCAAAACAUGUCGACGACAAGCGUCUUGGGGCAAGAAUGUCGAAAUUGUUUGCAACAGCCAAACCAUGCGUCCCCGAGCCUUAAAUGUGUCGCGGCCCGGGAUCCCGCGCCCGAGCCCGGCUAGCCGUUUGCGGUGCUUGAGUGGGAUGUGGGUGAGGUGCAUUUGGGAUAUCAUGGACCGUGAAGUGGCGUGGGUAAGGUGGCGUGGCGUGGCGGGGACAGGGCAUGUCGGUGCCUCGGCACGGCGUUGGCAUAGUGGCUAGUCCCGCUGGAUGGGCUUGCAAGGGUGCUGUUCAUGUCGCCGGUGCCCAUCGUCACAUCCCUUGCGCUUCAUGGGGCUCAGCCCAUUUUCCAGCUGUACAAAGCUGACACCCCUUGUUUUUUUAAAGUCAUCCUUACAAGGUUGCGGUGGUAGACGCACUCCCACCCUACUGCCAAGGCAGCCUGGAACAUAUCACAGAACCUCGAUAGGGCCAGAGAUCAGAGAAGAGAAGAGAAGUUUUUGUUCCACCACACACCUACUGGAAACCUCAACAGCCAGGUGACACCACACACCUACUGGAGUUCUCAACAGCUAGGUGACAACUACAGCCACUGCCAUGACCACACAGAUCAUCUAGAGCUCUCCAGUUGACAGGCCCAGAGCUCCACUUGAAUCUUGGAUCUUGAACUUGAAAGCUCUCCAGUUGCAGGCCCAGAGCUCCAGCCUUGUACCCCAGAGACUCCCUGCACCACAGGGGGGUCUACACACCAACAAGGUGUGGAUGGGUUUUGGUAAACCAGGGCCCUUCCUGGUGGGGUGACC
This 2620-nucleotide long non-coding RNA is filed under the name Chlamydomonas reinhardtii. Its description in RNAcentral is "long non-coding RNA (CREI_LNC000129)". Lineage: Eukaryota; Viridiplantae; Chlorophyta; Chlorophyceae; Chlamydomonadales; Chlamydomonadaceae. The record is from RNAcentral.